ACCAUUUCCAGCAGCCACCUUGUAGAGAAGGUUCAUUAAAUUUUUGUACAAUACUACAUACAAUAAUGAACCUUGUGUACAAAUUGGCUGCAGGAUGG
This 98-nucleotide microRNA precursor is filed under the name Prunus persica (peach). Its description in RNAcentral is "miR6278 stem-loop (ppe-MIR6278)". The record is from miRBase by way of RNAcentral. Lineage: Eukaryota; Viridiplantae; Streptophyta; Magnoliopsida; Rosales; Rosaceae.